RNA transcript from Erinaceus europaeus (western European hedgehog), 1374 nucleotides. It is a transcript of the gene named T cell immunoreceptor with Ig and ITIM domains, with no coding region annotated. The record is from RefSeq and is a predicted model, not a curated record. Lineage: Eukaryota; Metazoa; Chordata; Mammalia; Eulipotyphla; Erinaceidae. The transcript is spliced from 5 exons.
UUGACUUUGUUUUUGCUGAACUUUGUUUUUCCGAGACCCUCUCUCCCCCAUAGGCUCAGUUUCACUCUGCCAAUUGCACUAGGCCAGUUUCGGUGGCAGAAAAGGCCACAUGUGCUUCCUGUAGGCCCCCUGGGCAGAAGCAUGCAGUGGUGUUUCCUCCUGCUCUGGGUGCAGGGGCUGAAUCAGGUCCACCUUACUGCCUCAGUUGCUGCUACAGGUAGAAUUUUAACAGUAGGGAACAUUUCUGCAGAGGAAGGUGAUUCUGUCACUCUGCAAUGUCACCUUUCCUCCACCGCUGCCAAAGUGACUCAGGUCAACUGGGAACAGCAGGAUAAACUUCUGGCCAGUCGUCACGCUGAAUAUGGCUGGCAUGUCUACACUACCUUCAGGGAGCAAAUGGUCCCAGGCCCUGACCUGGGCCUAACCCUCCAGUCACUGACCAAGAAUGACACAGGGGAGUACUUCUGUACUUUUUAUACUUACCCGGAUGGGAUUUACAAAGAACGGCUCUUUCUCGAAGUCUUACAAAGGUCAGUGCCUGAGCACAGCAGUGACUUCCAGAUGGUGUUGGCUGGAGCCCUGGUCGCAGUGCUGGUCAUCUGCAUGGCAGUUAGCAUGGUGGUUGCAUUGGUCCGAAAGAAGAAAUCCCUUAGAUUCCAUGCUGUGGAAAGUAACAUCAGGCAAAGGGCAUCUGAACAAGUGGAUUGGGGUCCCAGUGUGCUAUCAUCCCCUGGAAGCUGUGUCCUGGUGGAAACUGGUUCUUCUGUCCUCUGCAGAGAGCAGGAGGGAGAGGACUGUGCCGAGUCACAUGAUUACUUCAAUGUCCUGAGUUACCGAAGCCUGGGUAGCUUCAGCUUCUUGGAAGAGACUGUUUAGCUUUUGGGGACUUUGUUGAACAAGACAACUCAACUCCUACCUCUUCUUGGAUUGUUAUUUUAAUUUUUCUCACUUUUAUACUAAACAGCCACCAGGUUCCAGAUGCUACCAUGAUGCCAACCAGACUUCCCUGGACGGACAACUCCACCAAUGUGUCCUGGAGCUCUGAUUCCCCAGAGCCCCACCCCACUAGGGAGAGACAGGCUGUGAAUAUGGAUCAACCUGUUAACUUCCAUGUUCAGAGGGGAAGCAAUUACAGAAUCCAGACUUCCACUUUCUGCAUUCCACAAUGACCUUGGGUCCAUACUCCCAGAGGGAUAAAAAAAUAGCAAAGCUAUCAGGGAAGGGGAUGGGAUACAGAGUUCUGAUGGUGGGAAUUAUGUGUAGUUGUACCCCGAUUAUACUAUGGUUUUGUCAAUGUUUCCUUUUUAUAAAUAAAAAAUAAAAAGAAAGAUUUCUAUAUACUAUAAAAAUAAUAAGAAGCCCUUCUCAUAGAGA